Molecule: transfer RNA, 80 nt
Filed under: Trametes coccinea BRFM310
Lineage: Eukaryota; Fungi; Basidiomycota; Agaricomycetes; Polyporales; Polyporaceae
Description: Trametes coccinea (strain BRFM310) tRNA
Rfam family: tRNA
About the family: Transfer RNA (tRNA) molecules are approximately 80 nucleotides in length. Their secondary structure includes four short double-helical elements and three loops (D, anti-codon, and T loops).
Source: Rfam by way of RNAcentral
GGGCGUUUGGCACAGUGGUAGCGCGCACGCUUUGCAUUCGAACUUGCGUGAGGUCCAGGGUUCAAGCCCCUGAACGUCCA